CACGUAGGGGGCAAGCGUUGUCCGGAUUUACUGGGCGUAAAGGGCGCGUAGGCGGCCUGUUAAGUGUGAAGUGAAAUCUCCAGGGCUCAACCCGGAAAUUGCUCUGCAAACUGGCAGGCUUGAGGAACGUAGAGGUGAAUAGAAUUCCCGGUGUAGCGGUGACAUGCAAAAAUAUCGGGAGGAAUACCAAUGGCGAAGGCAGUUCACUGGACGUUUCCUGACGCUGAGGUGCGAAAGCGUGGGUAGCAAACAGG
Molecule: unclassified non-coding RNA, 254 nt
Filed under: uncultured Armatimonadota bacterium
Lineage: Bacteria; Bacillati; Armatimonadota
Description: uncultured Armatimonadetes bacterium contains 16S-23S intergenic spacer region
Rfam family: Bacterial small subunit ribosomal RNA
Source: RNAcentral